AUGACUACUUCCUCAAAAACUUUCCUACUGCUUUAACACACACCACUCCCAAACCUUCUUUAUCCUAACAAGUUCAUUAUGGUGAAGCAAAAAAUAGUGAUCAAGGUGCAAUUAAUGAACACCUCAAAAGCAAGGUCCAAUGCUAUGAAGAUUGCAGUUGGAAUGUUAUUUAAUAAAACUCACUUUAAACUUAAUUUUCACCAUAAAUUAAUUAUUUUAUAUGGAUAUGCUAACUAGCUAGUGCAAGUGGGACACUAGUUAAAGAAAUCCAAAAUAAUAAGUUUUGUAUUGAAAGAAUGUUCUUUUAUAGGGUGAAUUCUUCGGUGCAUAUUUUAUUUGAAUAUGUACCAAUAAAAUUCUAGUAGAUCCACAAAUUGUAUUUAUUAAUUUUUUUAUAAAUUUAAAAUACUAAUCGUACAUAAUAAGAUGUGUAUUAUGAUUUACCUCUUAAUAUUUUUAAAAACUAAAUUACACAGGUUCCAAGAUUAUUUUUUUUUUCUUAUUUAGUUUCUUAAUUGGUGCAUCAGGGCACUAGUUUAGUAAUUUGCUAUUUUAUUCAAAAAGUUCAAUAAAUAUAACCAUAUAUUGUUUUACAAAAUUGAUCAUGAGCAAAAAAUAAUAUUUAGGAGUGGAAAGUGCAGCUAUUGGAGGAGAUAACAAGGAUCAAAUAGAGGUAAUUGGAGAGAUGGACCCAGUUAGACUCACAAAUCUACUAAGAAAGAGAUUCUGUCGUGCAGAAUUGCUUAGUGUUGAAGAAAAGAAAGAAGAGAA
Molecule: long non-coding RNA, 771 nt
Organism: Trifolium pratense (red clover)
Lineage: Eukaryota; Viridiplantae; Streptophyta; Magnoliopsida; Fabales; Fabaceae
Exons: 2
Source: RefSeq, a predicted model, not a curated record